Molecule: non-coding RNA, 30 nt
Filed under: Mus musculus (house mouse)
Lineage: Eukaryota; Metazoa; Chordata; Mammalia; Rodentia; Muridae
Source: RNAcentral
AUCAAGGACAAAAGAUUGCUGUUCCAGGUU